AUCCAGAUGACGAGUUCCAAAUAAGACGAAGUGCACAUCUUGGAU
This 45-nucleotide non-coding RNA is filed under the name Trichobilharzia regenti. The record is from RNAcentral. Lineage: Eukaryota; Metazoa; Platyhelminthes; Trematoda; Strigeidida; Schistosomatidae.